AGUCGUACGCGAAGACCCGCAAGGGGUUGUUAGCGUGGCAAACGGGUGAGUAACGCGUGGGCGACCUACCUCAGAGUGGGGGAUAACCCUUCGAAAGGAGGGCUAAUACCGCAUGACAUGCUCUGUUUAGAUACAGGGACAUCAAAGCCGGGGAUCGCAAGACCUGGCGCUUGGAGAGGGGCCUACGUCCGAUUAGCUAGUUGGUGGGGUAACGGCUCACCAAGGCGACGAUCGGUAUCCGGCCUGAGAGGGCGGACGGACACACUGGGACUGAGACACGGCCCAGACUCCUACGGGAGGCAGCAGUAGGGAAUUGUUCGCAAUGGGCGCAAGCCUGACGACGCAACGCCGCGUGGAGGAUGAAGACCUUCGGGUCGUAAACUCCUUUCGACCGAGAUGAAUACCUUUCGACCUAAUACGUUGAGAGGCUGACAGUAUCGAGGGAAGCAGCCCCGGCUAACUCCGUGCCAGCAGCCGCGGUAAUACGGGGGGGGCAAGCGUUGUUCGGAAUUACUGGGCGUAAAGGGUUCGUAGGUGGCCAACUAAGUCAGACGUGAAAUCCCUCAGCUUAACUGGGGAACUGCGUCUGAUACUGGUUGGCUUGAGUGCAGGAGAGGAACGCGGAAUUCCAGGUGUAGCGGUGAAAUGCGUAGAUAUCUGGAGGAACACCGGUGGCGAAGGCGGCGUUCUGGACUGCAACUGACACUGAGGAACGAAAGCCAGGGGAGCAAACGGGAUUAGAUACCCCGGUAGUCCUGGCCCUAAACGAUGAAUGCUUGGUGUGGCGGGUAUCGAUCCCUGCCGUGCCGAAGUUAACGCGUUAAGCAUUCCGCCU
Molecule: ribosomal RNA, 835 nt
Filed under: uncultured bacterium
Lineage: Bacteria
Description: bacterial SSU rRNA
Rfam family: Bacterial small subunit ribosomal RNA
Source: RNAcentral